GAACUGUUCGCCGACAGCAGACCCUCCCUCCCAGACCCUCCCACCUCCUGGACAGCAUCCAUUGUGAAGCUGCAUUCUUAAUGAGCUGUCCAGGAGGUGGGAGGGUCUGGGAGGGAGGGUCUGUUGCUGAUUGGCUGG
Molecule: non-coding RNA, 138 nt
Organism: Pelobates cultripes (western spadefoot toad)
Lineage: Eukaryota; Metazoa; Chordata; Amphibia; Anura; Pelobatidae
Source: the annotation of a GenBank genome assembly